RNAcentral lists this ribosomal RNA (468 nucleotides) under uncultured bacterium. RNAcentral describes it as "partial 16S ribosomal RNA". It matches the Rfam family "Bacterial small subunit ribosomal RNA", at positions 28 to 507 of the family's 1533-position model. The record is from RNAcentral.
GACGAACGCUGGCGGCGUGCUUAACACAUGCAAGUCGAACGGAAAGGCCCUGCUUUUGUUGGGUGCUCGAGUGGCGAACGGGUGAGUAACACGUGAGUAACCUGCCCUUGACUUUGGGAUAACUCCAGGAAACUGGGGCUAAUACCGGAUAGGAGCUCCUGCUGCAUGGUGGUGGGUGGAAAGUUUCGGCGGUUGGGGAUGGACGCGGGGUUUAUCAGUGUUUUUGGGGGGUUGGGGCUUACCAGGGCUUUGACGGGUAGCCGGCGUGAGAGGGUGACCGCCCACAGUGGGACUGAGAUAGGCCCGAGACUCCUAGGGGGGGGAGCAGUGGGAAAUAUUACACAGUGGGCGGGAGCGUGGUGCAGAAGCGGCGCGUGCGGGAUGACGGCCUUCGGGGUGAAAACCGCUUUCGCCUGUGACGAAGCGUGAGUGACGGUAAUGGGUAAAGAAGCACCGGCUAACUACGUG